CUGCAACUGUUUAUUAAAAACACAGCACUGUGCAAACACGAAAGUGGACGUAUACGGUGUGACGCCUGCCCGGUGCCGGAAGGUUAAUUGAUGGGGUCAGCGCAAGCGAAGCUCCUGAUCGAAGCCCCGGUAAACGGCGGCCGUAACUAUAACGGUCCUAAGGUAGCGAAAUUCCUUGUCGGGUAAGUUCCGACCUGCACGAAUGGCGUAAUGAUGGCCAGGCUGUCUCCACCCGAGACUCAGUGAAAUUGAACUCGCUGUGAAGAUGCAGUGUACCCGCGGCAAGACGGAAAGACCCCGUGAACCUUUACUAUAGCUUGACACUGAACAUUGAGCCUUGAUGUGUAGGAUAGGUGGGAGGCUUUGAAGUGUGGACGCCAGUCUGCAUGGAGCCGACCUUGAAAUACCACCCUUUAAUGUUUGAUGUUCUAACGUGGACCCGUGAUCCGGGUUGCGGACAGUGUCUGGUGGGUAGUUUGACUGGGGCGGUCUCCUCCUAAAGAGUAACGGAGGAGCACGAAGGUUGGCUAAUCCUGGUCGGACAUCAGGAGGUUAGUGCAAUGGCAUAAGCCAGCUUGACUGCGAGCGUGACGGCGCGAGCAGGUGCGAAAGCAGGUCAUAGUGAUCCGGUGGUUCUGAAUGGAAGGGCCAUCGCUCAACGGAUAAAAGGUACUCCGGGGAUAACAGGCUGAUACCGCCCAAGAGUUCAUAUCGACGGCGGUGUUUGGCACCUCGAUGUCGGCUCAUCACAUCCUGGGGCUGAAGUAGGUCCCAAGGGUAUGGCUGUUCGCCAUUUAAAGUGGUACGCGAGCUGGGUUUAGAACGUCGUGAGACAGUUCGGUCCCUAUCUGCCGUGGGCGCUGGAGAACUGAGGGGGGCUGCUCCUAGUACGAGAGGACCGGAGUGGACGCAUCACUGGUGUUCGGGUUGUCAUGCCAAUGGCACUGCCCGGUAGCUAAAUGCGGAAGAGAUAAGUGCUGAAAGCAUCUAAGCACGAAACUUGCCCCGAGAUGAGUUCUCCCUGAGACUUUAGGUCUCCUGAAGGAACGUUGAAGACGACGACGUUGAUAGGCCGGGUGUGUAAGCGCAGCGAUGCGUUGAGCUAACCGGUACUAAUGAACCGUGAGGCUUAACCUUACA
This 1140-nucleotide ribosomal RNA is filed under the name Salmonella enterica subsp. enterica. RNAcentral's name for it is "partial 23S ribosomal RNA". It matches the Rfam family "Bacterial large subunit ribosomal RNA", at positions 1794 to 2925 of the family's 2925-position model. Lineage: Bacteria; Pseudomonadati; Pseudomonadota; Gammaproteobacteria; Enterobacterales; Enterobacteriaceae. The record is from RNAcentral.